UACGUAGGGACCAAGCGUUGUUCGGAUUUACUGGGCGUAAAGGGCGCGUAGGCGGCAAUUCAAGUCAUCUGUGAAAUCUCCGGGCUUAACUCGGAACGGUCAGGUGAUACUGCUUUGCUAGAGUGCGGAAGGGGCAAUCGGAAUUCUCGGUGUAGCGGUGAAAUGCGUAGAUAUCGAGAGGAACACCUGCGGCGAAGGCGGGUUGCUGGGCUGAUACUGACGCUGAGGCGCGUAAGCCAGGGGAGCGAACGGG
Molecule: ribosomal RNA, 253 nt
Filed under: uncultured bacterium
Lineage: Bacteria
Description: partial 16S ribosomal RNA
Rfam family: Bacterial small subunit ribosomal RNA
Source: RNAcentral